CCUGAGGAAUGAUGACAAUAAAAGGCCGAAUUGCAGUGCCUGUAAACAGUUUCUCUCUAAAGGCAUGAUGACAAAACUCCUUGAAGCGACUUUUUUGUCUGACCUCAGC
This is a small nucleolar RNA of Anolis sagrei ordinatus, 109 nucleotides long. RefSeq annotates it as small nucleolar RNA SNORD89. Lineage: Eukaryota; Metazoa; Chordata; Lepidosauria; Squamata; Anolidae. The record is from RefSeq and is a predicted model, not a curated record.